Molecule: ribosomal RNA, 400 nt
Filed under: uncultured bacterium
Lineage: Bacteria
Description: bacterial SSU rRNA
Rfam family: Bacterial small subunit ribosomal RNA
Source: RNAcentral
UGGGGAAUAUUGCACAAUGGGCGAAAGCCUGAUGCAGCGACGCCGCGUGAGGGAUGACGGCCUUCGGGUUGUAAACCUCUUUCAGUAGGGACGAAGCGCAAGUGACGGUACCUGCAGAAGAAGCACCGGCUAACUACGUGCCAGCAGCCGCGGUAAUACGUAGGGUGCGAGCGUUGUCCGGAAUUACUGGGCGUAAAGAGCUCGUAGGCGGUUUGUCACGUCGUCUGUGAAAUCCUAGGGCUUAACCCUGGACGUGCAGGCGAUACGGGCUGACUUGAGUACUACAGGGGAGACUGGAAUUUCUGGUGUAGCGGUGGAAUGCACAGAUAUCAGGAAGAACACCGAUGGCGAAGGCAGGUCUCUGGGUAGUAACUGACGCUGAGGAGCGAAAGCAUGGGUA